CAGUACCCGCYGAAUUUAAGCWUAUCWCUAAGCGGMGGAAAAGAAACCAACCGGGAUUCCCUCAGUAGCGGCGAGCGAAGCGGGAAAAGCCCAUCGCCGAAUCCCCCGUCGGACCUCGGCGGUUUGGGAACUGUGGCGUAAGGGUCCGACUCGUCGGGCGUCUGACCGUCCGAACAAGUCCCGCGGGACAGGUGUGCUCCCAGAGUGGGUGUGAGGCCUUUAGUUCGGUCUGGGUCUUCUGCUCGGCGCAGUCGGUACCUGAGAGUCGAGUUGCUUGGGAUCGCAGCUCAAAGUGGGUGGUAAGCUCCAUCUAAGGCUAAAUACUUGCACGAGUCCGAUAGCGAACARGUACCGUGAGGGAAAGUUGAAAAGAACUUUGAAGAGAGAGUUCAGUCRUAGCUGUUUC
RNAcentral lists this ribosomal RNA (406 nucleotides) under Testudinalia testudinalis (plant limpet). RNAcentral describes it as "partial large subunit ribosomal RNA". It matches the Rfam family "Eukaryotic large subunit ribosomal RNA", at positions 20 to 405 of the family's 3401-position model. The record is from RNAcentral. Lineage: Eukaryota; Metazoa; Mollusca; Gastropoda; Lottiidae.